UGGGGAAUAUUGGACAAUGGGCAAAAGCCUGAUCCAGCCAUGCCGCAUAAGUGAAGAAGGCCUUUGGGUUGUAAAGCUCUUUUAGUGAGGAAGAUAAUGACGGUACUCACAGAAGAAGUCCUGGCUAACUCCGUGCCAGCAGCCGCGGUAAUACGGAGAGGGCUAGCGUUAUUCGGAAUUAUUGGGCGUAAAGGGCGCGUAGGCUGGUUAGUAAGUUAAAAGUGAAAUCCCGAGGCUUAACCUUGGAACUGCUUUUAAAACUGCUAACCUAGAGAUUGAAAGAGGAUAGAGGAAUUCCUAGUGUAGAGGUGAAAUUCGUAAAUAUUAGGAGGAACACCAGUGGCGAAGGCGUCUAUCUGGUUCAAAUCUGACGCUGAGGCGCGAAGGCGUGGGGAGCAAACA
This 402-nucleotide ribosomal RNA is filed under the name uncultured bacterium. Its description in RNAcentral is "bacterial SSU rRNA". It matches the Rfam family "Bacterial small subunit ribosomal RNA", at positions 355 to 774 of the family's 1533-position model. The record is from RNAcentral.